UUACAGUUCAUUAGAUUUUCACACCGCCUCACAACACAACGUGUGGUAAGAUGUAUCGAGAAGGUGACAUACAGGUACGGUACAAGAGGCGUGAGCAGGGCCAACGAACAUGAAGAUCCGCAGGCUGCGAAAAUAACAGGAGUGAAGCUUCCGCGGUCUCCUUACCCGGGCACAUCUCACGCGCCCAAGCACAAUCGCUGUCUAACCGUGACAUCUGCAGGCCGUUACAGAGCUAAAGCUCCAGGAUGGUGCAAACAGAAGGGCGACAAGGCAGGAGAGAGAAAGAGAAAAUGAGCUGACUGAGAACGCAGAAAUACUAAGGUGUUGGAUUCAAGGUAAAGUAAUCGGACGCAGUGGAAAAUAUUCUAAAUUUGACAUCGUAGGAUUGAGGUGUACAUUUUCCAUGUGCCCUCUAUCGAUUCAGUAAACAUAAAUCGCUCGGUUUUCUUGUGAACGUGCUGCUUAAUUUGAAAAGCAUCAUCAUCUGUGAAAUGCGAUCACAUCUCACAGUAUCAUUGAAGGCUGAAGAUUGGAUAUUCAAAAAAAGUUGUUCUCUAAUAAAUACGAGGUGAUAAAAAUGACAGCAAACUACCGCUUAUAAUGACUCCCUUCUGCAUAUGAGGAAAGUGGUACUUGCGGAGCUCAAGUGACUUGCCGAUGGCCUGUGGCUAUUAAGUGGAGCUGCUGGGAUUUGAAACCAUUUAAGCGGGGCUCGCUCUAAAAGCGGCAGCAUCCAACGGGCCAGGCGGGAUGGUGAGGGGAUGAAAGGCUUGGAGGGCCGGGCAGGGGAGCUGGGGUCUGGGCAUCCAGGCCCACAGCCUUCGUGGGGUGCGGGAGAGAACGCGCAGGUCAGCGCCGAGGGCAAACUCAGCCCCGAACCUUGGGGGUCAAGGUCACGGACACAGGGAGCCAAGCUCAGAAGGACACACGAAAGUCACGCAGGUCACAGGAAGAAAGCAAACCCAGGCACACAAACCGCUUCGCGCUCUGGGUGGGUGGGGACGGAGCGCCUGUGUUCUCUGGCUGCAGACAUUGAAGAUAGGUUCCGUCUGCGCGCCCCUGGCGCGGCGGGAGAACCGGAGACGCCCGACCCCAGCGUCCCGGCAGUCCUGGCACUGCCCCGCCGGCCGCGUUUUCUCCAGGACCGAUGCUCCUCGAGUUUGACCGAUGUUAGGGAUUCGCCUCCCCUCUCUCUUUGUUCUCGGAUACUAGAAACACAAAGGACAGGAGGCAAACCCUGGUCUCCCAGCUGCAGGACAAGGGAUCUGGACUAGGAGCCUGUUUGCAGAUUUCGUCGGUGGUUGGGAUGGCUACAGAAUCAUUUCUUCAGAAAAACUACUGCGUGAACAGGCUUGUGGUUUUUAAGUCAUUUAGAAUCAGUUCAAACACUUAAGCCAUGUGGUAGCGUGGCCGAGCGGUCUAAGGCGCUGGAUUAAGGCUCCAGUCUCUUCGGAGGCGUGGGUUCGAAUCCCACCGCUGCCAGGCUUAUUCUUUAACUUCCUUUAACUUAUUCUUUAUCUUCCUAGAUAAAAGGGAGACAUGGCAGCUGGCAAGCGAGAGUCAGUUACACAGGAAUGGCUUCGAAACCCACCUGGCAAUAGAGCCUGCCUGGCAACAGGCUGUGAUUGGCUAGGCCAUAAACCGCCUCUUGACUGGAUUGGCUGCCCCAGCUAUUUAAGCUGCUGUACCAAUUGAAAGAGUCUGCAGGCUCUCACCUCUGGCCUGAUUUCACCCGACUCACGGGGGUCUGUGUGGUGACUCCACGCCUCUAGCCCCCACGGCGCUCCUCCUCUCAGAAUGAAUCAACCUCAACAUCUGGCGCCCAACGUGACUGAGAGAGAGACAGCGUGACAGACUUGGCGAUUUCAGCAAAGAAUGUGGAACACACUAUUUGGGUACCAGCCAGAAACAUCAAGCCUGCAACUGACAGCCAACCAGAACCAGCUGAGUCUGAGAGUCUGCCUUGUUAGCGGAUGCACCUGCUACCGAUUGUCAAAAUGCUGCUCUAUCAUCCUGCCCUGAGAAACUGCCCAUAGCCACAUCCGUUACUGCUUUAUACCCCACAUAGCUCUGGUCAGCCACUCAUUUGGCCCACAGCCUGUGUGCUAUCAUGCCAUUCCUGAUUACCACUGUUCCUCAUUCCUACCCCCAUCUGAGCAAGCACUCCUGUGGUCUCCUGUGUUGAGGGCUGGUUAGUCAACGACAGGUAAGAUCCCCUGGGGGACAACCUAAAACAGGCACAGCCACGUAUGGAGACCACAUGGAAAUGGAGUCAACAAUGGUAUGGCCAAGGAUCAUGCCUCCCGUUGCUCAAAAAUAAAUGAAAAGUUCAAGGUCACUAGCAAUCAGGGAAAUGCAAAUCAAAAGCACAAUGAGGUUUCACCUCACCCCGGUUAGAAUGGCUCACAUACAGAAAUCUACCAACAACAGAUGCUGGCGAGGAUGUGGGGAAAAAGGGACACUAACCCACUGUUGGUGGGAAUGCAAACUGGUCAAGCCACUAUGGAAAUCAGUCUGGAGAUUCCUCAGAAACCUGAAGAUAACCCUACCGUUCGACCCAGCCAUCCCACUCCUUGGAAUUUACCCAAAGGAGUUUAAAUUGAUAAACAAAAAAGCGGUCUGCACCCUAAUGUUUAUUGCAGCACAAUUCACAAUAGCCAAGACCUGGAACCAACCUAAAUGCCCAUCAACGGUAGACUGGAUAAAGAAAUUAUGGGAUAUGUAUUCUUUAGAGUACUAUACCGCAGUAAGAAACAACGAAAUCCAGUCAUUUGCAACAAAAUGGAGGAAUCUGGAACACAUCAUGCUGAGUGAAGUAAGCCAGUCCCAAAGGGACAAAUACCAUAUGUUCUCCCUGAUCGGUGACAACUGACUGAACACCAAAGGGGAAACCUCCUGAAGUGAAGUGGACACUAUGAGAAAUGGUGACUUGAUCAGCAUAGCCCUGACUGCUGAUGGACAACUUAAUACAUUAUCCCUCAUAGUA
Oryctolagus cuniculus (rabbit) is the source of this 2986-nucleotide non-coding RNA. The record is from RefSeq and is a predicted model, not a curated record. NCBI's taxonomy places the organism in Eukaryota, Metazoa, Chordata, Mammalia, Lagomorpha, Leporidae.